Non-coding RNA from Tirmania nivea, 98 nucleotides. The record is from the annotation of a GenBank genome assembly. Lineage: Eukaryota; Fungi; Ascomycota; Pezizomycetes; Pezizales; Pezizaceae.
GACGUUGUGCCCGAGUGGUUAAGGGGAUUGACUCGAAUCGACUUGAUCCGGUAAUCAAUUAGGCUUUGCCUGCGCAUGUUCGAAUCAUGUCAACGUCG